GAUGAACGCUGGCGGCGUGCCUAAUACAUGCAAGUCGAGCGAACAGACGAGGAGCUUGCUCCUCUGACGUUAGCGGCGGACGGGUGAGUAACACGUGGAUAACCUACCUAUAAGACUGGGAUAACUUCGGGAAACCGGAGCUAAUACCGGAUAAUAUAUUGAACCGCAUGGUUCAAUAGUGAAAGACGGUUUUGCUGUCACUUAUAGAUGGAUCCGCGCCGCAUUAGCUAGUUGGUAAGGUAACGGCUUACCAAGGCAACGAUGCGUAGCCGACCUGAGAGGGUGAUAGGCCACAAUGGAACUGAGACACGGUACAGACGCAUAAGGGAGGCAGCAGUAGGGAAUCUUCCGCAAUGGGCGAAAGCCUGACGGAGCAACGCCGCGUGAGUGAUGAAGGUCUUCGGAUCGUAAAACUCUGUUAUUAGGGAAGAACAAAUGUGUAAGUAACUAUGCACGUCUUGACGGUACCUAAUCAGAAAGCCACGGCUAACUACGUG
RNAcentral lists this ribosomal RNA (497 nucleotides) under uncultured bacterium. RNAcentral describes it as "partial 16S ribosomal RNA". It matches the Rfam family "Bacterial small subunit ribosomal RNA", at positions 28 to 507 of the family's 1533-position model. The record is from RNAcentral.